Alexandromys fortis (reed vole) is the source of this 367-nucleotide long non-coding RNA. RefSeq lists it as uncharacterized. The record is from RefSeq and is a predicted model, not a curated record. The transcript has 3 exons. NCBI's taxonomy places the organism in Eukaryota, Metazoa, Chordata, Mammalia, Rodentia, Cricetidae.
GAAAUUUCUGAAAGAAAAAAAAAAAACUUCAACUUUCAUUCAAAUUUUGCUUUCAAUUUAAGGGACAAAUUAAAGCCAGAAACCAACUUGAGAAAGAAAGCAGCUGCUCAGAGGAGAAGGCAGGAUCACGUGGAGAGGUGACUUCCGGAAAUCUUCCAGGGACAGUAUGGACAGAGGAUAUGCCGCUUCUAACAACCUUAGGCAAUCCGUGCUCUGAAGGAAAGUGAGACGCAAGCCUCAGGUAGAAAGCAAUCCCUCGGAAAUCCCUCUUUACAGCCGAGCCCACAUUUCACAGCAAGUUAGGGAAUGCUCUCUUCAACUCCUGUACCAAAUAUCCUUCCAGAACGUCCCUGGCCACAAGAAUGUC